RNAcentral lists this unclassified non-coding RNA (306 nucleotides) under uncultured fungus. Its description in RNAcentral is "partial contains small subunit ribosomal RNA, internal transcribed spacer 1, and 5.8S ribosomal RNA". The stretch from base 1 to 73 matches the Rfam family "Eukaryotic small subunit ribosomal RNA", at positions 1759 to 1831 of the family's 1831-position model. The record is from RNAcentral. Lineage: Eukaryota; Fungi.
ACAAACUUGGUCAUUUAGAGGAAGUAAAAGUCGUAACAAGGUAACCGUAGGUGAACCUGCGGUUGGAUCAUUACUGAUUUUUGAAGUAGUCAAGGUUUUUGAUGCUCUUUUUUUAGAGCUCACCUUUUCUACUUCUUUCACACUAUGUGCAAACUUAUGUUUUUUUGGGUAUGUAAAGGUCAACUUUUAUACCCAAACAUUUUUAUUAAACCUUUGUUUUUUAUUUUGUCUGAUUAAAUCGUUUAAAAAUCGAUAACAACUUUUGACAACGGAUCUCUUGGCUCUCGCAUCGAUGAAGAACGCAGC